Molecule: ribosomal RNA, 256 nt
Filed under: uncultured bacterium
Lineage: Bacteria
Description: partial 16S ribosomal RNA
Rfam family: Bacterial small subunit ribosomal RNA
Source: RNAcentral
CGGGACGGGUGAGUAACGCGUGGGGAACCUGCCCUGUACAGGGGGAUAACACUUAGAAAUAGGUGCUAAUACCGCAUAAGCGCACAGUAUCGCAUGAUACAGUGUGAAAAACUCCGGUGGUACAGGAUGGACCCGCGUCUGAUUAGCUGGUUGGCGGGGUAACGGCCCACCAAGGCGACGAUCAGUAGCCGGCCUGAGAGGGUGAACGGCCACAUUGGGACUGAGACACGGCCCAGACUCCUACGGAAGGCAGCAG